AUUUAUAUAGUUUAAAUCUAAAACAUUACAUUUUCAUUGUAAUAAUAAAAUUAUUUAUUUUUAUAAAUA
Molecule: transfer RNA, 69 nt
Filed under: Clostera anachoreta
Lineage: Eukaryota; Metazoa; Arthropoda; Insecta; Lepidoptera; Notodontidae
Description: tRNA-Glu
Source: RNAcentral